AGAACGAACGCUGGCGGCAGGUCUAGGCAUGCAAGUCGAACGGAUGACAGAGAGCUUGCUCUCUGAAGUCAGUGGCGCACGAGUGAGUAACGCGUGGGAAACUGCCCUUCGACUGGGGAAUAACGUUUGGAAACGAACGCUAAUACCGCAUACGCCCGCAAGGGGAAAGAUUUAUCGGUGAUGGAUGUGCCCGCGUUGGAUUAGCCAGUUGGUGGGUAAUGGCCUACCAAAGCAAUGAUCCAUAGCUGGUCUGAGAGGACGAUCAGCCACGCUGGAACUGAGACACGGUCCAGACUCCUACGGGAGGCAGCAGCUAAGAAUAUUGGUCAAUGGGGGAAACCCUGAACCAGCCCAUGCCGCGUGAAUGAAGAAGGCCUUCGGGUUGUAAAGUUCUUUUAGUCGUGAAGAUGAUGACAGUAGCGACAGAAAAAGCACCGGCUAACUUCGUGCCAGCAGCCGC
RNAcentral lists this ribosomal RNA (460 nucleotides) under uncultured bacterium. RNAcentral's name for it is "bacterial SSU rRNA". It matches the Rfam family "Bacterial small subunit ribosomal RNA", at positions 26 to 518 of the family's 1533-position model. The record is from RNAcentral.